UUUAAAAUUAUGUAUGUUUUCUGUGUGCGUAAUCUUCUCAUCUUGUUAUCUGGCUACGUGAAGAUAGUAUCAUAGUAAUAUAUGUCAUUCAUUUCAUGGUUUAGAGAUGCAUACAUGCAUGUAGACACCAAUAGGUGAUUAUUUGGAUUACUUAUUGGUAGAUGUUACAUUACAUCAAUCAUAUGGUAGACGCCAAAUUCAUUGUUUUGGUAGCAAAUGUCAGUGAUGACUGUUGAAAUUUCAGGACCGAGGGGAACCCAUGUUAAUGGGCCUAAUAUUUUUGGGUUUACUUAGGCAUUGGAUGGGAGCCCACUUUCUCAAAAGGCAAUGGCUCGUAAGACUAGGUCCAUCCAACACCUUAUAAACCAUUCACAAUUCCUUCCAUUUUCUUAUGUGGGACUUGUGUUGUGGUUCUCCAACGAUGACUCAGUAAUUUCCAAAAAAAUGAAUGUUGUGUUGAUCCUGUGUCUUCCAAUUGCGUAAAACAUGUUAUUACCAUGGUAUUUAACAUGGAGCUGUUUAUGUUUCUAGCUUGCAUGCAAUGAUUUUUUCUGUCAUUCUGUGUCUUGAAGGGGUGUUGGUUGGUUGAUUAAUAUGGUAGUGCUAAGAAAGUCGUCAUAUCGGCACCGAGCAAGGAUGCCCCCAUGUUUGUUCUGGGUGUCAAUGAGAAGUAGUAUAAGCCAGAACUUAAGAUUGUAUCCAAUGCAAGCUACCAAUUGCCUAAACCCUUGGCAAAGAUUUGGUUUCGUGGAGGUUUUACGACCACUGUUCAUUUCCAUCACAGGACUGGAGAGGCAAAAGAGCUGCUUCAUUCAACAUUAUCCCUAGCAGUAAUGGAGCUGCUAAGUUAAGUACAAAAAGAAGCUCAUCUGUCAUUACAUUUUUAGUGUGCUCCAUUUUAUUUGCUUAUUGAGAUGGCACUUUUAGGAUGUUAUCUGGUUGAAACAGUUUAGGUUGUGUCCUCCGGAUCCCCCCUUUAUGUUUUUUGUAGUCCAACUUAUAUCCGUGUUUUAAUUCCUGUUUCUAGGCGGUAGGGAAGGUUUCUUCCUGAUUUGAAUGGAAAAUUGACAGGGGUGGCUUCCUGUGUUCCCAUGCAUGCCCCCGAGCUGAAGGUUUAGGGGAAUUGAGGUGUCCCUAUCGUUUGCAUGAUCAUUCUACAAAUAUUUGUGAGCAUCUUUUUUGCAGGAAGGAAAUUAGUGAUUCGGGAAAACUGGUCACCUUUUUUUUUUUUUUUGUAAGGAUGUUGGGUAGGUCUUGAGGUCUUUUUUGUUGUGUUUUCAAUUAUGGUUAUAGACUUAUAGUGGGAAUUUGCUCAUAUUCAUGACCUAUUUCCUUCGAUGAAGCCGUGAUCUAGAAUUGUGAUGAGUUGUUGAAAUAACUUUUUGCAGAGGUGGGCAAUUUUGGUCUGAGACGUAAGUGAAAUUUAGACAGCUUGAACUAAGAUUUUGGAACUGAAAUUUGAACCACUUAUUUAAUUAAAAAGAGAGAGAGAGAGAACUGUAGAGUGUAGACAACUAUCUUUUGGGUAUGUAUCGAUAAAGUCUCUGCAAUAUUGUGUCAGGUAAUAUACUAAAUAGACGUAUGAUUGUAUGAACAUUUCAUGUAGAUUCAGAAGAAAUUGAAAUCACAGGUCACAUGUGAAAUUGAAGUAUGAUGGUUCAUCGCCGAUUAGCCUUUUCAUUUUGCUAGUUUUAAUGGAAGGAAUGCUGGGACGCUUUAAUAUUGAGUCCGUUUGUUGGUGCCUUGGUGGCAAUUUUCCCCGUCUUCCGGAGCUCACAAGUGAAAUUGCCAGGCAACCUUAAAAAGUAUAAACACAUUUAUUUCUUGCCCGUUUUAUUGCACCAUUUCAUCUAUAUCUUUUGUCAGUUUCUACAUGUAAACUAGACACUGGACACCAAUAUAUUGUAGACUCACUUGGCAGCCUAUCAAUUAAUAUACCGGUUAGUCAAAUAAGGAGUAUAAAAUAAUUUGCUUUUCUGCAGUGUCAAAAGGAAUUUAUAUUUUUAUGGUUCGACGGUAGAAAAAUGAG
Long non-coding RNA from Tripterygium wilfordii, 2029 nucleotides. RefSeq lists it as uncharacterized. The transcript is spliced from 3 exons. The record is from RefSeq and is a predicted model, not a curated record. Lineage: Eukaryota; Viridiplantae; Streptophyta; Magnoliopsida; Celastrales; Celastraceae.